RNAcentral lists this ribosomal RNA (774 nucleotides) under uncultured Neocallimastigales. Its description in RNAcentral is "partial large subunit ribosomal RNA". It matches the Rfam family "Eukaryotic large subunit ribosomal RNA", at positions 18 to 644 of the family's 3401-position model. Lineage: Eukaryota; Fungi; Neocallimastigomycota; Neocallimastigomycetes; Neocallimastigales. The record is from RNAcentral.
UUCAGACGAUGCGUCAUGCAUAUCAAUAAGCGGAGGAAAAGAAACUAACAAGGAUUCCCUCAGUAACGGCGAGUGAAGCGGGAAGAGCUCAAAUUUGAAAUCUUGAAAGGUCACCUUUCACGAAUUGUAGUUUAAAGAAGUGUUUUCUGUUACGAUCGUAAUAUAAGUUCUUUGGAAUAGGACAUCACAGAGGGUGAGAAUCCCGUCUAUGAUUGCGAUUUGUAGCUUUGUGAUACACUUUCAAAGAGUCGGGAUUGUUUGGGAAUGCAGUCCAAAAUGGGAUGGUAAAUUUCAUCUAAGGCUAAAUAUUGGCGAGAGACCGAUAGCGAACAAGUACCGUGAGGGAAAGAUGAAAAGAACUUUGAAAAGAGAGUUAAACAGUACGUGAAAUUGUCAAGAGGGAAGCGUUUAACACCAGUGUUGUUUUCUGAAAAUCAACCUCUGUUAGCUUUAUGCAUGUUUGUUUAGACCUAAUCAGCUAUCUUGCAUGUUCUAUUGUUUGCAGUGGUGCACUUUUCAGUUUACAGGUCAACAUCAGUUUUUUUUACCGUAAAAAAGUUAAAGAAAGGUAGCUCAUGGCUCCGGUCGUGAGUGUUAUAGUCUUUUUCCGAUGCGGUAGGAGAGACUGAGGUCUGCAGUGUAGGCUAUUUGGCUAGAUACUCAGGUGCUAUGUGAUACCAUUUCAUAAACAACUUGUUGAUUAUGUUUUGUCUAUUGCAUACUCGCUUGUACUAUCAUACCUACGCUUAGGAUGUUGACUGAUAUGUAGUCGUA